This 300-nucleotide unclassified non-coding RNA is filed under the name Hevea brasiliensis (rubber tree). Lineage: Eukaryota; Viridiplantae; Streptophyta; Magnoliopsida; Malpighiales; Euphorbiaceae. The record is from RNAcentral.
AAAAUAAGAUAUAAAAAAAAAAAAUUUCUAAACGUAAAUUACCUGAUUUAAAGGACAUUAAAAUUUACAAUAGACAUCACAAGACAAGAUAGGGUGCUCUGGCACUGAAUGUGGCACUCAUCGCUUGGCUACACUAUAAACGGGUGAGGGGCAUCACAUUUUCACCUGAUUUAGCAUGAUAUUCAUGCUUAAAGAAGAGAUUAAAAGUUUAAAGUACUAACCUUUGUGGUGACCCAACUUCAAGCUUCCUAAACUUCAACUUUUCUCCUCUUUAUGGGUAUCUAUAGCUUCCUUAGGGUG